UAACGUUGGCCCGUAAUCCGGGUUGCGGACAGUGUCUGGUGGGUAGUUUGACUGGGGCGGUCUCCUCCUAAAGAGUAACGGAGGAGCACGAAGGUUGGCUAAUCCUGGUCGGACAUCAGGAGGUUAGUGCAAUGGCAUAAGCCAGCUUGACUGCGAGCGUGACGGCGCGAGCAGGUGCGAAAGCAGGUCAUAGUGAUCCGGUGGUUCUGAAUGGAAGGGCCAUCGCUCAACGGAUAAAAGGUACUCCGGGGAUAACAGGCUGAUACCGCCCAAGAGUUCAUAUCGACGGCGGUGUUUGGCACCUCGAUGUCGGCUCAUCACAUCCUGGGGCUGAAGUAGGUCCCAAGGGUAUGGCUGUUCGCCAUUUAAAGUGGUACGCGAGCUGGGUUUAGAACGUCGUGAGACAGUUCGGUCCCUAUCUGCCGUGGGCGCUGGAGAACUGAGGGGGGCUGCUCCUAGUACGAGAGGACCGGAGUGGACGCAUCACUGGUGUUCGGGUUGUCAUGCCAAUGGCACUGCCCGGUAGCUAAAUGCGGAAGAGAUAAGUGCUGAAAGCAUCUAAGCACGAAACUUGCC
This 576-nucleotide ribosomal RNA is filed under the name Escherichia coli. RNAcentral's name for it is "partial 23S ribosomal RNA". It matches the Rfam family "Bacterial large subunit ribosomal RNA", at positions 2223 to 2798 of the family's 2925-position model. Lineage: Bacteria; Pseudomonadati; Pseudomonadota; Gammaproteobacteria; Enterobacterales; Enterobacteriaceae. The record is from RNAcentral.